This 523-nucleotide long non-coding RNA is filed under the name Drosophila guanche. Lineage: Eukaryota; Metazoa; Arthropoda; Insecta; Diptera; Drosophilidae. The record is from RNAcentral.
GAUAACUGCGUGUAGCUUACAUGUGUGCGAACUAAACUUUGGUUAAGUGUGCAUUUAGUAAAAUGGAUAACCUUCCAGACCUAUUGUUGGAUCUCCCUGAGAUAAAGUUUCGACGAAAUGUAUAUAAUUACGAACGCUACCAGCAUGUCGGAGCACGUCGGAAUGUCGGACAGCGUGCUGUACCCGAAUUCGUCCCUUUGCCUAACCAUGGAAUAGCCGAAGGUCCUAAUGCAAUGGCCGACGAAAUGGCCGAGGAAAACGAAUCAAAUAAUCAUUAUAAUCAAGUGGCCAAAAAAAAAGAGGUUCCAUAUUACAGAUAUAAUUUUAAACACUUUAACGCAUAAUUGAAAUUGGUAUGUAAAUAAGUAUCUACAAUAUGCUUCAUUUUCAAGCUAAACUCUUGAUUCUUUCAGCUUACAAACAAUUAAUUUACCCACGCACGGAGCGGAACGGAACGGAACGGAACGGAACGACAACGACAAUAACAAUGAAGUACGCAUUGUAGGGAGGGAUAACUGAGGAC